UGGGGAAUAUUGGACAAUGGGCGAAAGCCUGAUCCAGCCAUGCCGCGUGUGUGAAGAAGGUCUUCGGAUUGUAAAGCACUUUAAGUUGGUAGGAAGGGCAGUAAGCGACUACCUUGCUGUUUGACGUUACCGACAGAAUAAGCACCGGCUAACUCUGUGCCAGCAGCCGCGGUAAUACAGAGGGUGCAAGCGUUAAUCGGAAUUACUGGGCGUAAAGCGCGCGUAGGUGGUUCGUUAAGUUGAAUGUGAAAGCCCCGGGCUCAACCUGGGAACUGCAUCCAAAACUGGCGAGCUAGAGUAGGGCAGAGGGUGGUGGAAGUUCCUGUGUAGCGGUGAAAUGCGUAGAUAUAAGAAGGAACACCAGUGGCGAAGGCGACCACCUGGGCUCAUACUGACACUGAGGUGCGAAAGCGUGGGGAGCAAACAGG
RNAcentral lists this ribosomal RNA (428 nucleotides) under Pseudomonadota bacterium. RNAcentral's name for it is "Proteobacteria bacterium partial 16S ribosomal RNA". It matches the Rfam family "Bacterial small subunit ribosomal RNA", at positions 355 to 776 of the family's 1533-position model. Lineage: Bacteria; Pseudomonadati; Pseudomonadota. The record is from RNAcentral.